Amphiprion ocellaris (clown anemonefish) is the source of this 627-nucleotide long non-coding RNA. Lineage: Eukaryota; Metazoa; Chordata; Actinopteri; Pomacentridae. The record is from Ensembl.
GGAAUGAUUGACAGGUCCUAUGGAGGAGGCAGCAGAGACUCUGUUCUCCUCCUUUGGAUUAAUUCUGAUAUAAUAACUGUUGGUUUAUUUAUCGGUGGAGCAGCAGAACAUUUUCCACAGACAGUUUUCCUGCCCGUUGGCUUGUUUUAACCAGUUUUCUACCUUCGGCUGAUUCUAUCAACAGACACUGAAAGGACUCUGAUAGUUCGAGUGAAAGCAGCAACUCCUUAAGGUCAGAGAUUGCAGCAUCUGAGGGCCUCUUCAAAAGAAGAUGUAGUUGAUGAAGGCGUUCUGGAGCAGGACCAGAAAGACCACGACCAAGCAGCCUUGAGAUCUUAGGCAGCAUCUCCCUGAGGUCCCUCUCUAUCUCCCUACACAUCCACCAACCACUGGAACACAUCUCCAAAGUUCUGCCGGGCCAGCUCAGCUUCCCCUCAGAAGAAGUUCCACCAGAUGAAGGAGCCUUUUGAGAGGCAGCUGGCAUCGUGAUUGGACUGUACUUUGGUCUGUUCCAAUCCAGCUUCAGCUCCAGAGACGGCAGGCGGGACGAGUCAACGGAGGCCAGAAACUCGGGAAAACCCGUGGAGACUCGAAGAACUCGUGGAGACUCGAAAAACUCGUCGGGCG